Molecule: ribosomal RNA, 252 nt
Filed under: uncultured bacterium
Lineage: Bacteria
Description: partial 16S ribosomal RNA
Rfam family: Bacterial small subunit ribosomal RNA
Source: RNAcentral
UACAGAGGUCUCAAGCGUUGUUCGGAUUCAUUGGCGUAAAGGGUGCGUAGGUGGCGAGGUUAGUCAGGUGUGAAAUCUCGGGGCUCAACCCCGAAACUGCACUUGAUACUGCCUUGCUAGAGUACUGGAGAGGAGAUUGGAAUUUACGGUGUAGCAGUGAAAUGCGUAGAUAUCGUAAGGAAGACCAGUGGCGAAGGCGAAUCUCUGGACAGUUACUGACACUGAGGCACGAAGGCCAGGGGAGCAAACGGG